UUUUAUUCUGUUUUUAGUGUUCUGCUGGGAGCAGCCCAGAGUAGCUGGGGAAACCCAGCCAGAUGGGUGCAGUAUAGAUAAUGAAGUAGUGGUGGUGGUGGUGGUAAUAAUAAUAAUAAUAAUAAUAAUAAUAAUAAUAAUAAUUUUUAUUAUUUAUACCCCUCCCAUCUGGCUGGGUUUCCCCAGCCACCCUGGGCAACUUACAGCAUAUCUGAAAAUAUAAUACA
Molecule: microRNA precursor, 227 nt
Filed under: Podarcis lilfordi (Lilford's wall lizard)
Lineage: Eukaryota; Metazoa; Chordata; Lepidosauria; Squamata; Lacertidae
Source: RNAcentral